GCUGACGUUCGCGACGGGAAGGGCCCUUCGCGGGCCGGCACCCCAACCGCGGGCCGUCCGGUGUUCAGGCGGAUCGGGACCCUCUUCCUUUUCGCGUGCACGGAUCCAGGGACCGAUGGGGACUUCCCUCCUCGGGGCGGCCCGGGCACGUGCCCGGCCCUCCAUGCGUGGGGCCGUCUGGCCGAGAUCUCCGCCGUGCGAGGUCGAGCGGUUCCGGCAGACCACCCAGGGGUCCGAAAAACCCAGGGAGCCGCGAGGCUCAGCAGGGCCAAACACGGUCGCGAGAGCGAGCAGGGGCGCGCUGCGGUCCCCCCCCGACAGGACCACACCACGCGGCGCGGGCCGCGGGAGGUGGGUUGGCCCUCGACGUCGGUGGGACCCCGUACCGCCCUCUCGCUGGAGCACCAGUAACCCCUGCUGCCCUCCCUGUCUGGGUCGCUGACUUCUUCUCUAGCGGGUUGCCUGGAAGGCGGUGGCGGCCUCUGCGCCGCGUCGCCACGUACGAAAAAAGGGACACCGGGAAAAGCGGGGCGAAGGGGGGCCCGAGGGGGCCCGGCUCCGUCUGACUCCCGACAUCCUUCUUCGAUGCCACCCGGGGCACCGCGGGGGGGAAAGAAAAGCAGCGCGAGGGCCCCGCGCCCUCUCCGCUGCCGGACUCUCCCCUGGUGUCACCCGGAACACCGGGAAUGCGGGGAGAGAGGUUCGAGGGGAGGUGCCGGGAGGGGGGGUCUUAACGGCCCGCCCCCCCGCCCUGUCUCGCUCUCUCUUCCGCCGGCUUUCGCCCUUGGGUGUAACCCGGGCCGCCUGGGAAAGCGGGGAGAAGGGGGCUCUCUUCGGAGGCUCACCCCAUCUCUUCCGCCGUCCUUCCUUGGCGGCUCCCGGGCACUCUGCCGCGGGCUUGAAGCCGAGGGAGCUGGAAGGUGGCCGGGGUCCUGACGGUCCUCCGUCUCUCUCCCGCCAUCCGUCGGGUGGCCCGGGGCCGAUCUUGGGGGAUCGCCAUCCCCGUCGGUCCUCCGCCUCUCGCUGCGUCGCGGGUCCCGCUCCUUCCCUCCCGGGGAAGGCCGGUGGGGCCCGCUGGGCGGGGGUGCCUCCAGUCCUCGUGGCGGGGCCCCCGCUCCUCCUUUCCGGAGCGCGGC
RNAcentral lists this unclassified non-coding RNA (1136 nucleotides) under Malaclemys terrapin terrapin. RNAcentral's name for it is "5' external transcribed spacer". The record is from RNAcentral. Lineage: Eukaryota; Metazoa; Chordata; Testudines; Emydidae.